GUGAACGCUGGCGGUAGGCCCAACACAUGCAAGUCGCACGGCAGCACAGUAAGAGCUUGCUCUUACGGGUGGCGAGUGGCGGACGGGUGAGGAAUACAUCGGAAUCUACUUUUUCGUGGGGGAUAACGUAGGGAAACUUACGCUAAUACCGCAUACGACCUACGGGUGAAAGCAGGGGAUCUUCGGACCUUGCGCGAUUGAAUGAGCCGAUGUCGGAUUAGCUAGUUGGCGGGGUAAAGGCCCACCAAGGCGACGAUCCGUAGCUGGUCUGAGAGGAUGAUCAGCCACACUGGAACUGAGACACGGUCCAGGCUCCUACGGGAGGCAGCAGUGGGGAAUAUUGGACAAUGGGCGCAAGCCUGAUCCAGCCAUACCGCGUGGGUGAAGAAGGCCUUCGGGUUGUAAAGCCCUUUUGUUGGGAAAGAAAAGCAGCAGGUUAAUACCCCGCUGUUCUGACGGUACCCAAAGAAUAAGCACCGGCUAACUUCGUG
RNAcentral lists this ribosomal RNA (491 nucleotides) under uncultured bacterium. Its description in RNAcentral is "partial 16S ribosomal RNA". It matches the Rfam family "Bacterial small subunit ribosomal RNA", at positions 29 to 507 of the family's 1533-position model. The record is from RNAcentral.